This 686-nucleotide ribosomal RNA is filed under the name Amycolatopsis sp. 11455. RNAcentral's name for it is "bacterial SSU rRNA". It matches the Rfam family "Bacterial small subunit ribosomal RNA", at positions 61 to 762 of the family's 1533-position model. Lineage: Bacteria; Bacillati; Actinomycetota; Actinomycetes; Pseudonocardiales; Pseudonocardiaceae. The record is from RNAcentral.
GUCGAACGCUGAACCGGUUUCGGCCGGGGAUGAGUGGCGAACGGGUGAGUAACACGUGGGUAAUCUGCCCUGUACUCUGGGAUAAGCCUGGGAAACUGGGUCUAAUACCGGAUACGACCACUACAGGCAUCUGGGGUGGUGGAAAGUUCCGGCGGUAUGGGAUGAACCCGCGGCCUAUCAGCUUGUUGGUGGGGUAAUGGCCUACCAAGGCGACGACGGGUAGCCGGCCUGAGAGGGUGACCGGCCACACUGGGACUGAGACACGGCCCAGACUCCUACGGGAGGCAGCAGUGGGGAAUAUUGCACAAUGGGCGCAAGCCUGAUGCAGCGACGCCGCGUGAGGGAUGACGGCCUUCGGGUUGUAAACCUCUUUCGCCAGGGACGAAGCGCAAGUGACGGUACCUGGAUAAGAAGCACCGGCUAACUACGUGCCAGCAGCCGCGGUAAUACGUAGGGUGCGAGCGUUGUCCGGAAUUAUUGGGCGUAAAGAGCUCGUAGGCGGUUUGUCGCGUCGGCUGUGAAAUCUGGAGGCUUAACCUUCAGCGUGCAGUCGAUACGGGCAGACUUGAGUUCGGCAGGGGAGACUGGAAUUCCUGGUGUAGCGGUGAAAUGCGCAGAUAUCAGGAGGAACACCGGUGGCGAAGGCGGGUCUCUGGGCCGAUACUGACGCUGAGGAGCGAAAGCGU